GAUGAACGCUAGCGGCAGGCCUAAUACAUGCAAGCCGAACGGUAAUUCUGAUAGCAAUAUUGGAACUAGAGUGGCGUAAGGGUGCGUAACACGUAUGCAAUCUACCCGCAACAGGAGGAUAGCUCCCCGAAGGGAAGUUAACCUCCAUGAGAUCACACGAGGCGAUCCGAGAGUGAUUAAAUUUGAGGAGGUUGUGGAUGAGCAUGCGACUGAUUAGCUAGUUGGCAGUGUAACGGAC
This 238-nucleotide ribosomal RNA is filed under the name uncultured bacterium. RNAcentral's name for it is "partial 16S ribosomal RNA". It matches the Rfam family "Bacterial small subunit ribosomal RNA", at positions 28 to 265 of the family's 1533-position model. The record is from RNAcentral.